Molecule: ribosomal RNA, 433 nt
Filed under: uncultured bacterium
Lineage: Bacteria
Description: partial 16S ribosomal RNA
Rfam family: Bacterial small subunit ribosomal RNA
Source: RNAcentral
AGCGAACGCUGGCGGCAGGCCUAACACAUGCAAGUCGAACGAACUCUUCGGAGUUAGUGGCGGACGGGUGAGUAACCCGUGGGAACGUUCCCUUUGGUUCGGAAUAACUCAGGGAAACUUGUGCUAAUACCGAACGUGACCUUCGGGGGGAAGAUUUAUCGCCAUUAGAGCGGCCCGCGUCUGAUUAGCUAGUUGGUGAGGUAACGGCUCACUAAGGCGACGAUCAGUAGCUGGUCUGAGAGGAUGACCAGCCACACUGGGACUGAGACACGGCCCAGACUCCUACGGGAGGCAGCAGUGGGGAAUCUUGCGCAAUGGGCGAAAGCCUGACGCAGCCAUGCCGCGUGAAUGAUGAAGGUCUUAGGAUUGUAAAAUUCUUUCACCGGGGACGAUAAUGACGGUACCCGGAGAAGAAGCCCCGGCUAACUUCGUG